UGGCACUGAAACACGGGCCAGACACCUACGGGUGGCAGCAGUAGGGAAUAUUGGGCAAUGGGCGAAAGCCUGACCCAGCAACGCCGCGUGCACGAUGAAGGUCUUCGGAUCGUAAAGUGCUUUUCUGAGAGAUGAGAAAGGACAGUAUCUCAGGAAUAAGUCUCGGCUAACUACGUGCCAGCAGCAGCCGCGAUACGUAGGGGGC
RNAcentral lists this ribosomal RNA (205 nucleotides) under uncultured bacterium. RNAcentral's name for it is "partial 16S ribosomal RNA". It matches the Rfam family "Bacterial small subunit ribosomal RNA", at positions 314 to 535 of the family's 1533-position model. The record is from RNAcentral.